ACUUAUUUGUUUUUCGUUCAUUUUUUUACAUAAAUAAGGCCGUUAGUUUUCUCGUUUGAAUUGUUUUACAUUGUCUUAUCGGGGCCUAUUAUAGCUGACUAUGCGGUGUGGGCUUUGCUCAUUGUUGAAGGCCGUACGGUGACCUAUAGUUAUUAAUGUCUGUAUCAGUUUGGUCUUUUGUGGAUAGUUGUCUCAUUGGCAAUCAUACCACAUCUUCUUUUUUUUAUAUUGACA
This 234-nucleotide long non-coding RNA is filed under the name Mytilus galloprovincialis (Mediterranean mussel). The record is from RNAcentral. Lineage: Eukaryota; Metazoa; Mollusca; Bivalvia; Mytilida; Mytilidae.